UUUAUGGAGAGUUUGAUCCUGGCUCAGGAUGAACGCUGGCGGCGUGCCUAAUACAUGCAAGUCGAGCGAACAGACGGGGAGCUUGCUCCCCCGACGUUAGCGGCGGACGGGUGAGUAACACGUGGGUAACCUACCUAUAAGACUGGAAUAACUCCGGGAAACCGGGGCUAAUGCCGGAUAACAUGUUGAACCGCCAGGUCCUACAGUGGAAGACGGUCUUGCUGUCACUUAUAGAUGGACCCGCGCCGGAUUAGCUAGUUGGUAAGGUAACGGCUUA
This 277-nucleotide ribosomal RNA is filed under the name Staphylococcus pettenkoferi. RNAcentral's name for it is "partial 16S ribosomal RNA". It matches the Rfam family "Bacterial small subunit ribosomal RNA", at positions 1 to 267 of the family's 1533-position model. The record is from RNAcentral. Lineage: Bacteria; Bacillati; Bacillota; Bacilli; Caryophanales; Staphylococcaceae.